GUGCCAGCAGCCGCGGUAAUACGAAAGGUGCAAGCGUUGUUCGGAUUUACUGGGCGUAAAGAGAUCGUAGGUGGUUUGUUAAGUCGGGUGUGAAAUCCCGGGGCUCAACCCCGGAACUGCAUUCGAUACUGGCAGGCUAGAGUUCGGGAGGGGGAAGCGGAAUUCCGUGUGUAGCAGUGAAAUGCGUAGAUAUACGGAGGAACACCUGAGGCGAAGGCGGCUUCCUGGACCGAUACUGACACUGAGGAUCGAAAGCGUGGGUAGCAAACAGGAUUAGAUACCCCUGUAGUCCUAGCUGUAAACGAUGGACACUAGGUGUUGCGCGUAUCGACCCGUGCAGUGCCGUAGCUAACGCGUUAAGUGUCCCGCCUGGGGAGUACGCACGCAAGUGUGAAACUCAAAGGAAUUGACGG
Molecule: ribosomal RNA, 413 nt
Filed under: uncultured bacterium
Lineage: Bacteria
Description: bacterial SSU rRNA
Rfam family: Bacterial small subunit ribosomal RNA
Source: RNAcentral